Long non-coding RNA from Haliotis rubra (blacklip abalone), 233 nucleotides. RefSeq lists it as uncharacterized. NCBI's taxonomy places the organism in Eukaryota, Metazoa, Mollusca, Gastropoda, Lepetellida, Haliotidae. The record is from RefSeq and is a predicted model, not a curated record. The transcript has 4 exons.
CUGAGGAAAGCGGACUGUUUUUAUAAAUAUUCCUUGAUUCCAACCACUUUCUACAUUUCUUUCCCCCCAGCCUUGUCACAUACAUCCUUGACGCAGAAACAGACGGGGGCUACCAGGAGAUAGAAGAGAGAGGAUACGUUCAUCAGCGGGAAGACGAAAACGACGGGAGCUACCAGGAAAUAGAAGAAGGUGAUGACAACGUCGACGACAUCGUCCCCAUCGUAGCUGUCUAC